GGAGGGGUGCCAGAGUGGCCGAUUGGGCCGGUCUCGAAAACCGGUAGGCGGGCAACCGCCUCGUGGGUUCGAAUCCCACCCCCUCCG
Molecule: transfer RNA, 87 nt
Filed under: Planctomycetota bacterium
Lineage: Bacteria; Pseudomonadati; Planctomycetota
Also listed under: 1 other name
Description: tRNA-Ser
Rfam family: tRNA
About the family: Transfer RNA (tRNA) molecules are approximately 80 nucleotides in length.
Source: RNAcentral